CGGCGCCAUCAGCAGCAGUAGCACAGCCCCCCCCCCCACCCAACCCUAUCAUAACAUGGGAUGUAGUCUCAGCAGCGCCGACCCCUGGCACCAUAUCUGCACUCGCAUGGACUUUCACCCGUGCCUCUCCAAAAUUAAGGCAUUCCGAGCCUGCUUUCUUCCUGUGCCAUCCCUGAGUGAUUGCAUAUCACCACAGCUCAGUUUUCCAAGCUUUUGUUGUGGGUUUUUUUUUUUUCCCUCCUUCAGGAGAGCAAUGGGGAAGGCGCCUGGAACAGGCAGAGGAGGCUGGCUGGGCUCUGCUGCUUCCCAACAGCUCAGUGCAGCUCCCAGAGGAGAUGAACAAGUUAGUCACUCACUGAGCUCACAGCUGAAGCAUCUCAGCCUCCAUGAGAAUUUGUCACCAGCCCUUCCUGGGCUGCUGAGUACCCAGAAGAAGGGGAGAGACUGGGGAUUUGGGGGAUAUGCUUCCUGUGCUGGCUGACGGCGCGGGCAGCAACCACUGCGAGGUCAUGGGGCUGUUCUUCACCUCAAGGAGCAAGGGUGGCAUGGAGCUCACCAGUGCUUAUGGUCCCAACUGAUUCCCACUGCAUAGGAGUUUGUAUGUUGAGAAAGGGGGCGCCAGGGAGCUUUCUAGGGAUUUCCCUAUGAGAUUCGGGAGCUGGGAGUUUUCCCCAGUUUCCACCCGUCCUUGCAGCAAUGCCUUUUGCUCACGUGCUCCUCCCAGGGUCAUAAGUGGUUCUUAAAAAAAAAGCAACAGCCCACACAAUGCUCUUCCCUUCCCUAGCCGGGUGCUGCUGACGAGAUACCUCAUCCGGUCCUGAGGGUACAGAAUUAGCCCUCCACAUGGGAAAGGCCCUGCCAAUCCUGGCCACCAGCUUCAACACCCCAGGGCUACGAGGUCAGCAGCACGUCACUGCUAUGCAUCCUACACGUGUAUCCUCCAGUCCCUUCCAAAGGCCUGAUGCAAGAUGUUGCUAUUCCUACUCUGCUUGUGGGAUUUCUUGGAGGUCACAUUGCUGGUGCUGAUGUCAAGUGAUGUUUUCCUUGACGUGCAAGGUGUUCAAUCACUGCUUCAAGCUGUGACUUAGCAUUUCUGCUACACCACUCAGGAGCACAACUCAACCCAACCAAAAUGGCCACGUCAACCCAACACGAGUGACAACCUAACCCAACACAAACUAAAUCGUGCAACCAAAUACAACCCAAUCAAAUAUACCUCAGUGAUGCAACCCAAACCAGCCUGAGUGAUGCAGCCCAGCCCAGCUCAACCCAGCUUAACAAAACAAAAUCGUGCACAGCACAGCAUGAUCCAGGAGGACCUUUUAGAGAGGUCCAGGGGAGAAGGGUCCAUGACUGUAGCUCCCCUUGCUGCAAGGCUGUUGCAACAAAACAGCAGUAAGAGCAAAACAACUUGUACCAACCAGGACUGCACCUCUAUACUGUGAAUGACUGAAAGGUGGCUGAGUGUUGAAGACAUGAGGUGGAUUUUCUAAUAAUUUAAGUUAAUUUAAGCCUCCUUCCCCUCCUAAUCCUCCCUUUCCAUGGACAAAGUCACCUCCAAAUGUCUGUCUCUCGCAGUGAUACUGGACAGUGUGUUUCAAGGUGAUUGAAGAACCAGCCAAAGGGGCAGAGCCCAAAUCCCCUUGGGGACUUGCAGUCAGCGCAGAGAGCUGAUCUGCCUGGUGCCAAGGAAUGCAUCACGUACCCAUGAAAACAGGAAUAAAUAAUUAUUUUUUUGACUUGUUUCAAUCUUUUAAAAGUUAAUCUAAUCCUCUGCCUCUUCUUUUUUUGUUUUUUUUUUCUUUUUUUCUUUUUUUUCUUUUUUUCUGGUUAUUCGAAG
RNAcentral lists this long non-coding RNA (1840 nucleotides) under Gallus gallus (chicken). RNAcentral describes it as "lncRNA (ENSGALG00010015958.1)". The record is from RNAcentral. Lineage: Eukaryota; Metazoa; Chordata; Aves; Galliformes; Phasianidae.